CAACCCUUGUUGCUAGUUAUACUUUUCUAGCGAGACUGCCGGGAUAUACCCGGAGGAAGGUGGGGAUGACGUCAAGUCAGCAUGGCCUUUAUAUCCCAGGGCGUACACACACGCCACAAUGGCCGGUACAGAGGGUUGCCAAGCCGUGAGGCGGGAGCCAAUCUCACAAAGCCGGUCUCAGUUCGGAUUGAAGGCUGCAACUCGCCUUCAUGAAGCUGGAGUUGCUAGUAACCGCAGGUCAGCCAUACUGCGGUGAAUACGUUCCCGGGGAUU
RNAcentral lists this ribosomal RNA (273 nucleotides) under uncultured Caldilineaceae bacterium. RNAcentral's name for it is "partial 16S ribosomal RNA". It matches the Rfam family "Bacterial small subunit ribosomal RNA", at positions 1099 to 1378 of the family's 1533-position model. Lineage: Bacteria; Bacillati; Chloroflexota; Caldilineae; Caldilineales; Caldilineaceae. The record is from RNAcentral.